GGCCGCAGUAUUCUAACUGUGCAAAGGUAGCAUAAUCAUUAGUCUUUUAAUUGAAGGCUGGUAUGAACGGUUGGACGAAGUAUAAGCUGUUUCAUAUAAAUUUUUAUUAGAAUUUUAUAUUUUAGUCAAAAAGCUAAAAUUUUAUUAAAAGACGAGAAGACCCUAUAAAUCUUUAUAUUUAUUUUUAUUUAAGUUUUUUGGGAUAUAUUUUAUUUUUUUAAAAGUAAUUAUUUUGUUGGGGUGAUGUUAAAAUUUGAUGAACUUUUAAUUUUGAGUUACAUUAAUUUAUGAUUUAUUGAUCCAUUAAUAAUGAUUAUAAAAUUAAGUUACUUUAGGGAUAACAGCG
This 346-nucleotide ribosomal RNA is filed under the name Euphranta sp. 17-10-24-36-D. Its description in RNAcentral is "partial 16S ribosomal RNA". Lineage: Eukaryota; Metazoa; Arthropoda; Insecta; Diptera; Tephritidae. The record is from RNAcentral.